CGGGGCCCGAGUUGUAAUUUGUAGAGGGCGUUUCGGGUGCGGUCCCGGUUUAAGCUCCUUGGAACAGGACGUCAUAGAGGGUGAGAAUCCCGUAUGCGACCGGCGGUCGACCCCAUGUGAAACCCCUUCGACGAGUCGAGUUGUUUGGGAAUGCAGCUCAAAAUGGGUGGUAAAUUUCAUCUAAAGCUAAAUACCGGCCGGAGACCGAUAGCGCACAAGUAGAGUGAUCGAAAGAUGAAAAGCACUUUGGAAAGAGAGUCAAACAGUACGUGAAAUUGUUGAAAGGGAAGCGCUUGCAGCCAGAUCUGUUCCUGGGCGAUCAGCCGUUAUUCUUAGCGGUGCACUCGUCCUUGUUCAGGCCAGCAUCGGUUCGGGCGGCCGGAUAAAGGCCCCGGGAAUGUAGCUCCCUUCGGGGAGUCUUAUAGCCCGGGGUG
RNAcentral lists this ribosomal RNA (434 nucleotides) under Lecidea sp. RNAcentral's name for it is "partial large subunit ribosomal RNA". It matches the Rfam family "Eukaryotic large subunit ribosomal RNA", at positions 132 to 570 of the family's 3401-position model. Lineage: Eukaryota; Fungi; Ascomycota; Lecanoromycetes; Lecideales; Lecideaceae. The record is from RNAcentral.